UACGUAGGUGGCAAGCGUUGUCCGGAUUUACUUGGCGUAAAGAGCGCGCAGGCGGUCGUGCAAGUCGCGUGUGAAAGCCCCCGGCUCAACUGGGGAGGGUCACGCGAUACUGCUCGACUUGAAGGCAGGAGAGGGAAGUGGAAUUCCCGGUGUAGUGGUGAAAUGCGUAGAUAUCGGGAGGAACACCAGUGGCGAAGGCGACUUCCUGGCCUGUUCUUGACGCUGAGGCGCGAAAGCUAGGGUAGCAAACGGG
This 253-nucleotide ribosomal RNA is filed under the name uncultured bacterium. Its description in RNAcentral is "partial 16S ribosomal RNA". It matches the Rfam family "Bacterial small subunit ribosomal RNA", at positions 524 to 776 of the family's 1533-position model. The record is from RNAcentral.